CCCUUAGAUGUUCUGGGCUGCACGCGCGCUACACUGAUACUUUCAGCGAGUCCACCACCUUGCCUGGGAGGGUGGGGUAACCUCUGGAAAGUGCAUCGUGAUGGGGAUCGAUUAUUGUAAUUAUUAAUCUUCAACGAGGAAUUCCUAGUAAGCAUGUGUCAUCAGCCCGUGCUGAUUACGUCCCUGCCCUUUGUACACACCGCCCGUCGCUACUACCGAUUGAAUGGUUUAGUGAGAUCUUCGGAUUGGCGCCACUGCGGCUCAGCAAUGGGCUCGGUGGAUGCCGAAAAGUUGAUCAAACUUGAUCAUUUAGAGGAAGUAAAAGUCGUAACA
This 333-nucleotide ribosomal RNA is filed under the name uncultured eukaryote. RNAcentral's name for it is "partial 18S ribosomal RNA". It matches the Rfam family "Eukaryotic small subunit ribosomal RNA", at positions 1470 to 1796 of the family's 1831-position model. The record is from RNAcentral.